Molecule: transfer RNA, 72 nt
Filed under: Camelus bactrianus (Bactrian camel)
Lineage: Eukaryota; Metazoa; Chordata; Mammalia; Artiodactyla; Camelidae
Also listed under: 1 other name
Rfam family: tRNA
About the family: Transfer RNA (tRNA) molecules are approximately 80 nucleotides in length. Their secondary structure includes four short double-helical elements and three loops (D, anti-codon, and T loops).
Source: Rfam by way of RNAcentral
GAGUGUAUAGCUCAGUAGUAGAGCACAUGCUUAGCAUGCACGAGGUUCCAGGUUCAAUCCCCAGUACUUCCA